GUAUGGAAUGAUGAAUGAGAUUUUAGUUUCCCUAUUGGUUUGAUUGGCCGAUAUGAUAGCCUAAAUACUGAUCUGAAACUGAACAUCA
Triticum aestivum (bread wheat) is the source of this 88-nucleotide non-coding RNA. NCBI's taxonomy places the organism in Eukaryota, Viridiplantae, Streptophyta, Magnoliopsida, Poales, Poaceae. The record is from Rfam.